RNAcentral lists this ribosomal RNA (466 nucleotides) under uncultured bacterium. RNAcentral's name for it is "partial 16S ribosomal RNA". It matches the Rfam family "Bacterial small subunit ribosomal RNA", at positions 28 to 507 of the family's 1533-position model. The record is from RNAcentral.
GACGAACGCUGGCGGCGCGCCUAACACAUGCAAGUCGAACGAGCGAUAGAGAGCUUGCUUUCUCGAGCGAGUGGCGAACGGGUGAGUAACGCGUGAGGAACCUGCCUCAAAGAGGGGGACAACAGUUGGAAACGACUGCUAAUACCGCAUAAGCCCACGGCUCGGCAUCGAGCAGGGGGAAAAGGAGCAAUCCGCUUUGAGAUGGCCUCGCGUCCGAUUAGCUAGUUGGUGAGGUAACGGCCCACCAAGGCAACGAUCGGUAGCCGGACUGAGAGGUUGAACGGCCACAUUGGGACUGAGACACGGCCCAGACUCCUACGGGAGGCAGCAGUGGGGAAUAUUGCACAAUGGGGGAAACCCUGAUGCAGCGACGCCGCGUGGAGGAAGAAGGUCUUCGGAUUGUAAACUCCUGUUGUUGGGGAAGAUAAUGACGGUACCCAACAAGGAAGUGACGGCUAACUACGUG